GCACGCAAUUACCCACUCCCGGCACGGGGAGGUAGUGACAAAAAAUAACGAUACGGGACUCAUCCGAGGCCCCGUAAUCGGAAUGAGUACACUUUAAACUCUUUAACAAAAGCCAAUCGGAGGGCAAGUCUAGUGCCAGCAGCCGCGGUAAUUCUAGCUCCGAUAGCGUAUAUUAAAGUUGUUGCGGUUAAAAAGCUCGUAGUUGGUUCUGUGUGCCACGCUGUUGGUUCACCGCAUGUCGGUGUAACUGACAUGUCGUGGGACGUCCUGUCGGUGGUGGUUAAAGCCCUAUAGCUUAGAAGAGGCUUGUCCUUAACUUUGCUUCAGGUGACUUUAAUUACCGAUUAAAUCCUGCCGCGGUGCUCUUUACUGAGUGUCGAGGUGGGCCGACACGUUUACUUUGAACAAAUUAGAGUGCUCAAAGCAGGCAUUGGUUGCCUGAAUAGUAGUGCAUGGAAUAAUAGAAUAAGACUUUGGUUCUAUUUUGUUGGUUUUCAGAAUCCAAGGUAAUGAUCAAUAUGGACAGGCGGGGGCAUUCGUAUUGCAACGUUAGAGGUGAAAUUCUUGGAUCGUUGCUAGACGAACUAAAGCGAAAGCAUUUGCCAAGUAUGUCUUAAUUGAUCAAGAACGAAAGUUAGAGGUGCGAAGGCGAUCAGAUACCGCCCUAGUUCUAACCAUAAACGAUGUCAGCCAGCGAUCCGUCGAUGUUUUUUUCAUGACUCGACGGGCAGCUUCUGGGAAACCAAAGCUUUUGGGUUCCGGGGGAAGUAUGGUUGCAAAACUGAAACUUAAAGGAAUUGACGGAAGGGCACCACCAGAAGUGGAGCCUGCGGCUUAAUUUGACUCAACACGGGAAACCUCACUAGGUCCAGACAUUGGAAGGAUUGACAGAUUGAUAGCUCUUUCUUGAUUCAGUGGGUAGUGGUGCAUGUCCG
Molecule: ribosomal RNA, 935 nt
Filed under: Ogeriinae sp. 1 AK-2015
Lineage: Eukaryota; Metazoa; Arthropoda; Insecta; Hemiptera; Schizopteridae
Description: SSU rRNA
Rfam family: Eukaryotic small subunit ribosomal RNA
Source: RNAcentral